AUGUUGCAGUGCUCUCCUGUUUUUGCCAAGCUCGUUGAGGGUCAUUCUCCUCCGGUGAACUUCGAGAUCAAUGGGCACCAAUACAACAAGGGGUACUAUCUAGCUGACGGCAUCUAUCCGAGAUGGUCGACAUUUGUGACGACGAUCUCAAACCCUGUGGCAGGAGGCAAGAACGCCUGGUUUGCGAAGCUUCAGAAGGCUUGCAGGAAGGAUGUCGAGCGGGCUUUUGGUGUGCUCCAAUCUCGAUUCGCUGUUGUUCGGUACCCCGCUCAGACCUGGUCGAAAGAUCAAAUGUGGGAGAUCAUGACUUGCUUUGUCAUCUUGCACAACAUGAUCAUCGAGAGCGAGCAAGAAGACCCAGUGUUUGACACUGAACCAUACUACAGGCAGGGUCCUCUAGCCGAGGUUGAUCACCAGCUACCGGCAACUUGA
Molecule: ribosomal RNA, 432 nt
Filed under: Triticum aestivum (bread wheat)
Lineage: Eukaryota; Viridiplantae; Streptophyta; Magnoliopsida; Poales; Poaceae
Description: partial small subunit ribosomal RNA
Source: RNAcentral